This 253-nucleotide ribosomal RNA is filed under the name uncultured bacterium. Its description in RNAcentral is "partial 16S ribosomal RNA". It matches the Rfam family "Bacterial small subunit ribosomal RNA", at positions 524 to 776 of the family's 1533-position model. The record is from RNAcentral.
UACGUAGGGUGCAAGCGUUGUCCGGAAUUAUUGGGCGUAAAGAGCUCGUAGGCGGUUUGUCGCGUCGACUGUGAAAACCCGAGGCUUAACCUCGGGCCUGCAGUCGAUACGGGCAGACUAGAGUUCGGUAGGGGAGACUGGAAUUCCUGGUGUAGCGGUGAAAUGCGCAGAUAUCAGGAGGAACACCGGUGGCGAAGGCGGGUCUCUGGGCCGUUACUGACGCUGAGGAGCGAAAGCGUGGGGAGCGAACAGG